AGCAGCCGCGGUAAUUCCAGCUCCAAUAGCGUAUAUUAAAGUUGUUGCAGUUAAAAAGCUCGUAGUUGAAUUUCGAGAUCAAAUUGUUGGUCGUGCCUUGGUACGCACUGGCAUUAUUGGUUUCUCCCUUCUGACGAACCAUGAUGUCAUUAAUUUGGUGUCUUGGGGAAUCAGGACUGUUACUUUGAAAAAAUUAGAGUGUUUAAAGCAGGCUCACGCUUGAAUACAUUAGCAUGGAAUAAUGAAAUAGGACGUUUGAUUCUAUUUUGUUGGUUUCUAGGAUCGACGUAAUGAUUAAUAGGGAUAGUUGGGGGCAUUAGUAUUCAAUUGUCAGAGGUGAAAUUCUUGGAUUUAUUGAAGACUAACUACUGCGAAAGCAUUUGCCAAGGAUGUUUUCAUUAAUCAAGAACGAAAGUUAGGGGAUCGAAGACGACCAGAUACCGUCGUAGUCUUAACCAUAAACUAUGCCGACUAGGGAUCGGAUGAUGUUAAUUUUUUUCAAUGACUCAUUCGGCGCCUU
Molecule: unclassified non-coding RNA, 520 nt
Filed under: uncultured Glomus
Lineage: Eukaryota; Fungi; Glomeromycota; Glomeromycetes; Glomerales; Glomeraceae
Description: SSU rRNA
Rfam family: Eukaryotic small subunit ribosomal RNA
Source: RNAcentral